CGGGCCGGGGAAAGUGGGUAAGAAAAGGGACCGCGCUCCCGACCCCCGGAGGACCCCCGCGUCCAGCCCAGCCCGUCGGUACUUGUCCUUCCCCUCCCGAGGGAGAGGCCUCUUCGACCCGAGGCCUCAACCAUCACUUUACCCCUGAGCCAGAAACCGGGCUCACAUCUAGGAGUGUUUGGAUUGUGAGCAAUUUAAGCUGUAUCCUCAGGAUCCAUUAUUUUAACAUCUGGGAGAAACACAUCCAGAAGAUACACACUAGAUUGAAGGAGGAGUGGGGAAUCUGAAGACUCCAAAUGGCAUCAGAGCUACUUUUCAACAGCCUUCUCAGUUUCCUUUCUCAGAAAGCAGAGACUCAAUCCUUGGAGACGGAUGAACACUGAUAUUUGCAUUUAUUGUGGAACAAAAGGUGAAGAAGGAGAAGCAGGAUAUUCACUAAGGAUUCUAUCUGCUUGCUGCUGCAGACCUGUGUGUUGAGGAAUUCUGCUGCUGCUUCUUGCUUGGGAGUUAUCAACUCUGCAGUCAGGCUGCGUUGGGAGCCUGCCUGCCUUUUGUCUCGUCAUUGCCAACCAGCAGACCAAUCCCGGUCGGAACGGAACAGUACACCUCUGUCUAAUUACUAUGGAAGAUGUCAUGAGGAAGCUGCUGAACUAGCAAUUGGUUGUUUAACACCUUCUUAUGCAUCAGACAACAACUGUGAGUAGCCCAUGAAUGAUAUUCUUUUUUAAUCAUAAAUAAUAGGCAUAAAUUAAAAUGUGAAUCUCCACCCACAAUGGAUUAAUGCAUUGCUGCCUUUAUUAGGGUACUUUAUUUUGCUUUUCAGAAGUCAGCGUACAUAACACGUUUUUUUAAAGUCCAAAUUGUUAAAUAAUAACUCCUUAAAGGAUAAUUAUUGAAUCAAAGAACCUAAUACUGAUUCAUUUUUUCAGUUCAAAAACAAAUUAGAAAAAAAAUAUGCUUACAUUUUUCACUUUUGCUAAAAAAAAAAAAAGAAAGAAAACACAUUUAUUUUUAAUUCUUGGAAGGGGUUUUGUGGUUCCUCAAUGUGUCUGCCCCACCCCAAUCCUUUUCAAUAUACUAUAUUUCUUUAAACCUUGUACUACUUAGUAAACAUUGAUUACAAUUGAUGGAAGUUUGAUAGAUCUUUAAAAAAAAGGCAGAUUUCCAUUUUUGUAUUUUAACUACUUUACUAAAUUAAUAUUCCUCCUUUUACAGAAUUAGGAAAGUUAACAUGUAUCUUCAGGUGGUUUCCUGAAUAGUUGAAAUAAGAAGUUGUUUUUAACAAGCAAAAUGGCUUUUCUUUGGACAGUUUUCACCAUCUCUUGUAAAAGCUACUUCUCACCGUUUCUGUGGUACCUGUGAGUCUUAUGACCAGGGUUUCUUAAAGUUGGACUCAGACCACCUGCAUUAGAAUCAUCUGGAGCACUUGUUUUAAAAUGCAGAUUCCUAGGCAGCAUCUCAGAUCUACAGAACAAGAAUCUCUGCUAAGUGGACCUGGGAAUCUUCCUUCUGCAUCUUAAUAUACUCCCUAGGUGUUUCUUCUGCACACUGAAAUUUGAAUUUUGAAAAUUGAAACCAUUGCCUAUGACUUCUCUCAACACAGGAUUGUGAACAAACUAUUUGAUGCCUGUAUUUUCCCCAGUACAGUCACACAUCAACUCAAAAUUUGCAAUAUUGUACUUCAUAUAUUACUGCUAUAACUUUGGAAAUCGGGUUCAGAAUACUUUUUAUGACAAAAAAAAAUCGGGUGGAGGGGACAACUUUCAUAUUUGGCUCAACAUCUCAGGAAAAUCUAUGAUUAUUUGUGUGUUCUAAUGAGUAACAUCUACUCAAUUAGCCUUAGGGAUGGAAUAACAGGGCCACUUACCAAACUCAGGUGAUUCCAGGAUGGUUUGGCGACUCCUCCUGAAUACAUCCUUAACUUCUAUUAAAACCAUUGUCCUAAGAACAGUGCUGACAAAGAUGAAAACAUUUAUUUCAAACCCAAGAAAGGCACUAAACUCAGAUUGACUAAACAAAAAAGUACGAAGGGCACAUAUACAUGACAGAUUUGUACACAGUCACUCCAUCGGAUCUGUUAUUUUAAAAUAGUGAUUAAAAGUAAACAUUGAUGUUUUCUUGGAAGAACUUAAUGUAUUAUCGAGCCGCAUGGGGUUUCUAUCUUGAAACAAGUCCAUGCUUUUCAGUUCAGUUUUUACAAUCCACAAUUCUUUCACCAGUUAUUUUUGGGUUUAAUUGUGAGCUGAGUUAGCAACUGACCUAUCAAAAAAUUGUUAUAUAAUCGACUGUUAAUUAGAAGGAAAUCUAUUUGAAAUUGUUCUACUUGAGGUUGUUUCUAAGAUUUUUAUAUUAAAAAUGGGCGUUAUUUCCUAAUAUGAUCUAAAACCCUAAAUGAUUAUUUUUUUCUCAAAAUAAUUUGUAAAUAGUUACUGGAUAUAUUAUAAAAUAAUAGGAGCGAAUAUUAUGCUACAUCAUGAAAAUUCCACGGGCCAGUGAAGAUAUUCAACUCCAUCCCAUCUUUAUUCUGUGACAAUCUUAUUGUCUACACUGUAUAAAUAAGCUUUUAACCAAGUCAUUUUUUUCUGCCGUUGUGAAAGGUCUGGAGCCUUAGAAGUAUGCUAGAAAAAAAUAUUGAUAUUCCCCCUUGGUUAGGGGAAAAUGGGCUUUUACAAGGGGGUGAAACUUAGGUCAGGAAAAAGAACAUCAAGGGCCAGCUUUGCUUUUUUUGUUUGUUUCUUUGGUUGGUCAUUUGUUUUGUUGUUGUUGUUACUGUUGUCAGCAGUCAAAGAAACGAAGGUAUGUCAUAUAUAAAUAAACAUGACCACAGAGAAACCUGUUCUGAUUUACUGGAGUGUCCCCAAUUUGAGUUUAGUAUGAUUUUAAAGAAGAGCGGUGAGAAAGGGCCUACAUCCAUAAAUGCAGUUCAUUUAUGCAUAUGUAGAUACAAGGAUGCACAUAUACACAUUUUCAAGGACUAUUUUAGAUAGCUAGACAAUUUCUUCCUAAUAAAGUCAUUUGUGAAAGGGUACUACAGCUCUCAUUGACAUCAGUAAGGUAGCAUUACCUGUUUAUUCUCUGCUGCAUCUUACAGAAGAGUAAACUGGUGAGAGUAUAUAUUUUAUAUAUAUAUAUAUAUAUAUAAUAUGUAUAUAUAUAUAUAUAUUGACUUGUUACAUGAAGAUGUUAAAAUUGGUUUUUAAAGGUGAUGUAAAUAGUGAUUUCCUUAAUGAAAAAUACAUAUUUUGUAUUGUUCUAAUACAACAGAAAAGCCUUUUAAUCUCUUUGGUUUCUGUAUAUUCCAUGUAUAAGUGUAAAUAUAAUCGGACAGGUUUAAAAAUUGUGCAUGUGUGUAUACAGUUGCAAGUCUGGACAAAUGUAUAGAGUAAGCCUUUUAUUUAAGUUGUGAUUACCUGCUGCAUGAAAAGUGCAUGGGGGACCCUGUGCAUCUGUGCAUUUGGCAAAAUGUCUUAAGCAGUCAGAUCAGAUAUUCAUCCCAACAUAACAGUAUUCCAUUUCUGGACAUGACUUCCGUGGUUUAAGCUUUGUGAAAGAAUGUGCUUUGAAUCCAAGGGUCUUAAAACUUUUUAAAUCAAGUCAACCACUUUUCAACAUAAAGAAUUCACACAACUACUUUCAUGAAUUUUUUAAUCCCAUUGGAAGCAUAAUAAUAUACCAGGAGUAUUCCAGUGUACUGGAGUACAGGCACAUUACCAUUCAUGGUAUGAAUUCUGGGGUUUACACAACCAAUUUUGAUGCGAUAUGCUCAGUAAUAUAAUUUGUCAUUUUUAUUAGAAAUUUAAUUUCUUCAUGUGAUGUCAUGAAACUGUACAUACUGCAGUGUGAACUUUUUGUUGUGUUUUUUAAUCUUUUAGUGUUUACUUCCUGCAGUGAAUUUGAAUAAAUGAGGAAAAAAAUGCAUUGUCUCUGGUUUGAAAUGAUUGUUAUUUUCUGGGCUGUCUCCGAUUUUCAGGUUUUCCAUAAACAUAAAAGUCUCUGGUCAUGAAAAUAACAAGCCUUCAAGAAUGCUUUGCCCUUCUCAGAAAAAUAAAGGGAAAAAAAAGAAGGUGGCCUGCGAGUUAGUAUUAUCUAGAGACAGGGCAAUUGAAGCAUAGCUCAGAAAGACAAUGAGCCUAUAUAGCCUCUUCUACCCAUCCUUGAUUCUAUUGCUUGGUGUGUAACUGGGUGGCCAUCAUGGAUUUUUGAAGUGGGAAAAAGUUUGUACAGUGUUCAAAAAUAAA
This is a long non-coding RNA of Lagenorhynchus albirostris (white-beaked dolphin), 4238 nucleotides long. RefSeq lists it as uncharacterized. The record is from RefSeq and is a predicted model, not a curated record. The transcript is spliced from 5 exons. Lineage: Eukaryota; Metazoa; Chordata; Mammalia; Artiodactyla; Delphinidae.